AUUCCAUGAUGAGGGCAUUCUGCGAUGUAAUCUUGAAAGCGUUCCCAUGCUUUAGCGAACGAUCCAUCAUGUUGCUAUUGAAGAUUGAGAUCUUCCCACGCAGUGC
Molecule: small nucleolar RNA, 106 nt
Filed under: Sorghum bicolor (sorghum)
Lineage: Eukaryota; Viridiplantae; Streptophyta; Magnoliopsida; Poales; Poaceae
Description: Plant small nucleolar RNA R71
Rfam family: Plant small nucleolar RNA R71
About the family: R71 is a member of the C/D box family of snoRNAs containing the C (UGAUGA) and D (CUGA) box motifs. Multiple nearly identical copies of this snoRNA have been identified in Arabidopsis, and it is thought to function as a 2'-O-ribose methylation guide for 18S ribosomal RNA.
Source: Rfam by way of RNAcentral